CCUACGGGAGGCUGCAGUGGGGAAUAUUGGGCAAUGGGCGCAAGCCUGACCCAGCAACGCCGCGUGAAGGAAGAAGGCUUUCGGGUUGUAAACUUCUUUUCUCAGGGACGAAGAAAGUGACGGUACCUGAGGAAUAAGCCACGGCUAACUACGUGCCAGCAGCCGCGGUAAUACGGAGGUGGCAAGCGUUAUCCGGAUUUAUUGGGUGUAAAGGGUGUGUAGGCGGGAGCGCAAGUCAGAUGUGAAAUCUCAGGGCUCAACCCUGAGCCUGCAUUUGAAACUGUGUUUCUUGAGUGCUGGAGAGGCAGGCGGAAUUCCGGGUGUAGCGGUGAAAUGCGUAGAUAUACGGAGGAACACCAAUGGCGAAGGCGGAUUGCUAGACAGUAACUGACGCUGAGGCGCGAAAGCGUGGGGAGCAAACAGGAUUAGAUACCCUUGUAGUC
This 443-nucleotide ribosomal RNA is filed under the name uncultured bacterium. Its description in RNAcentral is "partial 16S ribosomal RNA". It matches the Rfam family "Bacterial small subunit ribosomal RNA", at positions 338 to 795 of the family's 1533-position model. The record is from RNAcentral.